ACAACGACUCUCGGCAACGGAUAUCUCGGCUCUCGCAUCGAUGAAGAACGUAGCGAAAUGCGAUACUUGGUGUGAAUUGCAGAAUCCCGUGAACCAUCGAGUCUUUGAACGCAAGUUGCGCCCGAAGCCAUUAGGCCAAGGGCACGCCUGCCUGGGCGUCACGCA
RNAcentral lists this ribosomal RNA (165 nucleotides) under Sedum rupestre. RNAcentral's name for it is "5.8S ribosomal RNA". It matches the Rfam family "5.8S ribosomal RNA". From Rfam's summary of the family: 5.8S ribosomal RNA (5.8S rRNA) is a component of the large subunit of the eukaryotic ribosome. It is transcribed by RNA polymerase I as part of the 45S precursor that also contains 18S and 28S rRNA. Lineage: Eukaryota; Viridiplantae; Streptophyta; Magnoliopsida; Saxifragales; Crassulaceae. The record is from RNAcentral.